This 253-nucleotide ribosomal RNA is filed under the name uncultured bacterium. Its description in RNAcentral is "partial 16S ribosomal RNA". It matches the Rfam family "Bacterial small subunit ribosomal RNA", at positions 524 to 776 of the family's 1533-position model. The record is from RNAcentral.
UACGUAGGUGGCAAGCGUUGUCCGGAAUUAUUGGGCGUAAAGCGCGCGCAGGCGGUCCUUUAAGUCUGAUGUGAAAGCCCACGGCUCAACCGUGGAGGGUCAUUGGAAACUGGGGGACUUGAGUACAGAAGAGAAGAGUGGAAUUCCUAGUGUAGCGGUGAAAUGCGUAGAGAUUAGGAAGAACACCAGUGGCGAAGGCGACUUACUGGACUGUAACUGACGCUGAGGCAUGAAAGCGUGGGGAGCAAACAGG